Xenopus tropicalis (tropical clawed frog) is the source of this 118-nucleotide small nuclear RNA. Lineage: Eukaryota; Metazoa; Chordata; Amphibia; Anura; Pipidae. The record is from Ensembl.
GCUUUCAGUCCGUUCGUGCAUUAGUAAAUCUGCCCCUAUAACUGGAAUGAUACAGAGAAGAUUAACAUGGCCCCUGCGCAAGGAGGACAUGCAAAUUCAUGAAACAUUCGCUGCAAGG